RNAcentral lists this ribosomal RNA (506 nucleotides) under uncultured bacterium. RNAcentral describes it as "partial 16S ribosomal RNA". It matches the Rfam family "Bacterial small subunit ribosomal RNA", at positions 30 to 523 of the family's 1533-position model. The record is from RNAcentral.
AUUGAACGCUGGCGGCAGGCUUAACACAUGCAAGUCGAGCGGUAACAGAGAGAAGCUUGCUUCUCUGCUGACGAGCGGCGGACGGGUGAGUAAUGCCUAGGAAUCUGCCUAGUAGUGGGGGAUAACCUGCCGAAAGGUAAGCUAAUACCGCAUACGUCCUACGGGAGAAAGGAGGGGACCUUCGGGCCUUUCGCUAUUAGAUGAGCCUAGGUCGGAUUAGUUAGUUGGUGAAGUAAGGGCUCACCAAGACCGCGAUCCGUAACUGGUCUGAGAGGAUGAUCAGUCAAACUGGAACGGAGACACGGUCCAGACUCCUACGGGCGGCAGCAGUGGGGAAUAUUGGACAAUGGGGGGAACCCUGAUCCAGCCAUGCCGCGUGUGUGAAGAAGGUCUUAGGAUUGUAAAGCACUUUAAGUUGGGAGGAAGAGCAGUUAACUAAUAUUUGACUGUUUUGACGUUACCGACAGAAUAAGCACCGGCUAACUUCGUGCCAGCCGCCGCUGUAA